This 248-nucleotide ribosomal RNA is filed under the name uncultured bacterium. RNAcentral's name for it is "partial 16S ribosomal RNA". It matches the Rfam family "Bacterial small subunit ribosomal RNA", at positions 524 to 769 of the family's 1533-position model. The record is from RNAcentral.
UACGUAGGGUGCGAGCGUUAAUCGGAAUUACUGGGCGUAAAGCGUGCGCAGGCGGUUUUGUAAGCCAGACGUGAAGUCCCCGGGCUUAACCGUGGGAAUGGCGUUUGGGACUGCAAGGCUCGAGUAUGGCAGAGGGGACUAGAAUUCCUGGUGUAGCAGUGGAAUGCGUAGAUAUCAGGAGGAAUACCGGAUGGCGAAGGCAGGUCCCUGGGCUAAAACUGACGCUCAUGCACGAAAGCGUGGGGAGC